CAGGCCUAACACAUGCAAGUCGAACGGACAGUAGCAAUACUGUUAGUGGCGCACGGGUGCGUAACACGUAACUAACCUACCCAUUACUGGGGGAUAGCCCGCCGAAAGGCGGAUUAAUACCGCAUAAGAUAAGGUGGCGGCAUCGUCUCUUUAUUAAAGAUUUAUUGGUAGUGGAUGGGGUUGCGGGUCAUUAGCUAGUUGGUAAGGUAACGGCUUACCAAGGCGACGAUGACUAGGGGAGCUGAGAGGCUGGUCCCCCACACGGGCACUGAGAUACGGGCCCGACUCCUACGGGAGGCAGCAGUAGGGAAUAUUGGGCAAUGGGCGAGAGCCUGACCCAGCCAUGCCGCGUGCAGGAAGAAGGCUUUCCGAGUCGUAAACUGCUUUUGACAGGGAAGAAUAAGGCGUACGUGUACGCUGAUGACGGUCUCUGCAGAAUAGCCACCGUCUAUCUCGGUGCCCCCAGCCGCGGACAUACA
Molecule: ribosomal RNA, 479 nt
Filed under: uncultured bacterium
Lineage: Bacteria
Description: bacterial SSU rRNA
Rfam family: Bacterial small subunit ribosomal RNA
Source: RNAcentral